RNAcentral lists this ribosomal RNA (449 nucleotides) under uncultured bacterium. RNAcentral's name for it is "partial 16S ribosomal RNA". It matches the Rfam family "Bacterial small subunit ribosomal RNA", at positions 328 to 794 of the family's 1533-position model. The record is from RNAcentral.
GUGCCAGACUCCUACGGGAGGCAGCAGUGGGGAAUAUUGCACAAUGGGGGAAACCCUGAUGCAGCGACGCCGCGUGAGCGAUGAAGUAUUUCGGUAUGUAAAGCUCUAUCAGCAGGGAAGAAAAUGACAGUACCUGACUAAGAAGCACCGGCUAAAUACGUGCCAGCAGCCGCGGUAAUACGUAGGGGGCAAGCGUUAUCCGGAUUUACUGGGUGUAAAGGGGGCGCAGACGGCAGCGCAAGCCAGGAGUGAAAGCCCGGGGCCCAACCCCGGGACUGCUCUUGGAACUGCAUGGCUGGAGUGCGGGAGGGGCAGGCGGAAUUCCUGGUGUAGCGGUGAAAUGCGUAGAUAUCAGGAGGAACACCGGCGGCGAAGGCGGCCUGCUGGACCGCGACUGACGUUGAGGCUCGAAAGCGUGGGGAGCGAACAGGAUUAGAUACCCGAGUAAC